GAUGAACGCUAGCUACAGGCUUAACACAUGCAAGUCGAGGGGAAACGACAUCGAAAGCUUGCUUUUGAUGGGCGUCGACCGGCGCACGGGUGAGUAACGCGUAUCCAACCUGCCCAUCACUUGGGAAUAACCUUGCGAAAGUAAGACUAAUACCCAAUGAUAUCCCACGAAGGCAUCGGAAUGGGAUUAAAGAUUUAUCGGUGAUGGAUGGGGAUGCGUCUGAUUAGCUUGUUGGCGGGGUAACGGCCCACCAAGGCAACGAUCAGUAGGGGUUCUGAGAGGAAGGUCCCCCACAUUGGAACUGAGACACGGUCCACACUCCUACGGGAGGCAGCAGUGUGGAAGAUUGAUCAAUGGGCGAGAGCCUGAACCAGCCAAGUAGCGUGCAGGAAGACGGCCCUAUGGGUUGUAAACUGCUUUUAUAAGGGAAUAAAGUGGGUCACGUGUGACUUUUUGCCUGUACCUUAUGAAUAAGGACCGGCUAAUUCCGUG
This 492-nucleotide ribosomal RNA is filed under the name uncultured bacterium. RNAcentral's name for it is "partial 16S ribosomal RNA". It matches the Rfam family "Bacterial small subunit ribosomal RNA", at positions 28 to 507 of the family's 1533-position model. The record is from RNAcentral.